GAUGAACGCUGGCGGCGUGCCUAAUACAUGCCAGUCGAGCGAACGGACGAGAAGCUUGCUUCUCUGAUGUUAGCGGCGGACGGGUGAGUAACACGUGGAUAACCUACCUAUAAGACUGGGAUAACUUCGGGAAACCGGAUCUAAUACCGGAUGAUAUUUUGAACCGCAUGGUUCAAAAGUGAAAGUCGGUCUUGCUGUCACUUAUAGAUGGAUCCGCGCUGCAUUAGCUAGUUGGUAAGGUAACGGCUUACCAAGGCAACGAUGCAUAGCCGACCUGAGAGGGGGAACGGGCCCACAGGAACUGAGCCACGGUCCAGACUCCUACGGGAGGCACCAGUAGGGAAUGUUCCGCAAUGGGCGCAAGCCUGACGGAGCAACGCCGCGUGAGUGAUGAAGGUCUUCGGAUCGUAAAACUCUGUUAUUAGGGAAGAACAAAUGUGUAAGUAACUAUGCACGUCUUGACGGUACCUAAUCAGAAAGCAACGGCUAACUACGUG
RNAcentral lists this ribosomal RNA (497 nucleotides) under uncultured bacterium. RNAcentral's name for it is "partial 16S ribosomal RNA". It matches the Rfam family "Bacterial small subunit ribosomal RNA", at positions 28 to 507 of the family's 1533-position model. The record is from RNAcentral.